AGAGAGAAACAUCGAUGGGUUGGCUCCUGGACACACCCCAACCAGGUAUCAAACCCAAAACCUGGGCAUGUACCCUGACUGGCAAUUGAAUCCACUACCCUUUG
Myotis davidii is the source of this 104-nucleotide long non-coding RNA. RefSeq lists it as uncharacterized. The transcript has 3 exons. Lineage: Eukaryota; Metazoa; Chordata; Mammalia; Chiroptera; Vespertilionidae. The record is from RefSeq and is a predicted model, not a curated record.